GACGGAAGGUGCAAGCGUUGCUCGGAAUUACUGGGCGUAAAGGGCUCGUAGGCGGCCAACUAAGUCAGACGUGAAAUCCCUCGGCUUAACCUGGGAAUUGCGGUCGAUACUGCUCAGCUAGAGUAUGGGAGAGGGUAGUGGAAUUCCCGGUGUAGCGGUGAAAUGCGUAGAUAUCGGGAGGAACAUCAGUGGCGAAGGCGGCUACCUGGCCCAAUACUGACACUCAGGUGCGACAGCGUGGGGAGCAAACAGG
RNAcentral lists this ribosomal RNA (253 nucleotides) under uncultured bacterium. RNAcentral's name for it is "partial 16S ribosomal RNA". It matches the Rfam family "Bacterial small subunit ribosomal RNA", at positions 524 to 776 of the family's 1533-position model. The record is from RNAcentral.